Molecule: RNA transcript, 649 nt
Organism: Ornithodoros turicata
Lineage: Eukaryota; Metazoa; Arthropoda; Arachnida; Ixodida; Argasidae
Exons: 3
Source: RefSeq, a predicted model, not a curated record
CCCAGAUCCCGUACUGCCCCGACAAUGUUCGUGUCCAAGAGCGGAGGCCGAAUCGCAGACUUCAAAGAAGAGGUGGACCAGCUGCCCGCAAGUGUUCGUGUCGUGGUGUUGCACUGUGGGACGAAUGACAUGCCGGACACCGAUCCCGACAUGGCCAUCCGUCGCUAUGUGCAACUCAUCGACCACAUUCGCUCUCGGGGAAACAUCGAACUUGUGGCGACGCGAAUUCCAGUGCAAUCCCCGGGCAUUUGCGUUCAACCAACGACUGAUGACCCUGUGCCGAGGUGCCCGUGACCUGUAUUUCCUGGACCAUGGUUUCCACCGACAGCCCCCAACCAGAGUCCUUGCAGCUGACGGCCUCCACCCCAGUUUCGAAGGAGUCACCCAGAUCGCCCACCGACUGCGGUCCCUGGUACCCCGGCUGCUCCGUCGCCUACCCACACGUACAGCAAGCACUGGAACGCCGGACCCCGUAUGGCCGACACUCCAGGAGGCUGCAGCAUGGACACAAAGAACCACACGUGCCGAGAAAUCGUCACGAGCCAAGCAGCAGGAUUGACUAGCCGGCUCACGGGUAUUUCCUCAAGGUCCUGCUGCACAGACCCGGUCAUUCCCCUUUCACUUAGUCACCAACCUAUGUUAGUCAUGA